RNAcentral lists this ribosomal RNA (500 nucleotides) under uncultured bacterium. Its description in RNAcentral is "partial 16S ribosomal RNA". It matches the Rfam family "Bacterial small subunit ribosomal RNA", at positions 30 to 523 of the family's 1533-position model. The record is from RNAcentral.
AUUGAACGCUGGCGGCAUGCCUUACACAUGCAAGUCGAACGGCAGCACGGGAGCAAUCCUGGUGGCGAGUGGCGAACGGGUGAGUAAAGUAUCGGAACGUGCCCAGUCGUGGGGGAUAACGUAGCGAAAGUUACGCUAAUACCGCAUACGAUCUAUGGAUGAAAGCGGGGGAUCGCAAGACCUCGCGCGAUUGGAGCGGCCGAUAUCAGAUUAGGUAGUUGGUGGGGUACAGGCUCACCAAGCCGGCGAUCUGUAGCUGGUCCGAGAGGACGACCAGCCACACUGGGACUGGGACACGGCCCAGACUCCUACGGGAGGCAGCAGUGGGGAAUUUUGGACAAUGGGCGAAAGCCUGAUCCAGCCAUGCCGCGUGCAGGAUGAAGGCCUUCGGUUUGUAAACUGCUUUUGUACGGAACGAAAAGGUUUGGCCUAAUAAGCUGAGCUCAUGACGGUACCGUAAGAAUAAGCACCGGCUAACUACGUGCCAGCCGCCGCCGUAA